This 567-nucleotide ribosomal RNA is filed under the name Clostridioides difficile. Its description in RNAcentral is "bacterial LSU rRNA". It matches the Rfam family "Bacterial large subunit ribosomal RNA", at positions 2356 to 2925 of the family's 2925-position model. Lineage: Bacteria; Bacillati; Bacillota; Clostridia; Peptostreptococcales; Peptostreptococcaceae. The record is from RNAcentral.
GGCAAAAGAGAGCUUGAUUGCAAGACAUACAGGUCGAGCAAGGCAGAAAACCGGACUUAGUGAUCCGGGGGUGCUGCGUAGAGUCGCCAUCGCCCAACGGAUAAAAGCUACCCUGGGGAUAACAGGCUUAUCUCCCCCAAGAGUCCACAUCGACGGGGAGGUUUGGCACCUCGAUGUCGGCUCAUCACAUCCUGGGGCUGUAGUAGGUCCCAAGGGUUGGGCUGUUCGCCCAUUAAAGUGGUACGCGAGCUGGGUUCAGAACGUCGUGAGACAGUUCGGUCCCUAUCCGUCGCAGGCGUAGGAAAUUUGAGAAGACCUGUCCUUAGUACGAGAGGACCGGGAUGGACGUACCUCUGGUGUACCAGUUGUUCUGCCAAGGGCAUGGCUGGGUAGCUAUGUACGGAAUGGAUAAGCGCUGAAAGCAUCUAAGCGCGAAGCCAACUUCAAGAUAAGAUUUCCCACCGCAAGGGUAAGACCCCAGAAAGACUAUCUGGUUGAUAGGUCGAAGGUGUAAGUGCAGCAAUGUAUUUAGCUUAUCGAUACUAAUAGGUCGAGGACUUGACCAAU